This is a non-coding RNA of Cordylochernes scorpioides, 72 nucleotides long. The record is from the annotation of a GenBank genome assembly. NCBI's taxonomy places the organism in Eukaryota, Metazoa, Arthropoda, Arachnida, Pseudoscorpiones, Chernetidae.
UGCUGUGACCAGGAUUUGAACCUAGGUUAUUGCAGCCACAACGCAAUGUCCUAGCCACUUGAUGAUCAUGGC